AGUAAGCUACGGCAGGCCUAUACAUGCAGUCGAACGGUAAAUGUCCCUUCGGGGAUAUGAGAGUGGCGCACGGGUGCGUAACGCGUAUGCAACCCACCCGCUGUCGGGGGAUAGCCCGUAGAAAUGCGAAUUAAUACCCCAUGAGGAGAUAGGGCGGCAUCGUCCUUUUUUCAAAACUUUGGUGACGGCGGACGGGCAUGCGUGCCAUUAGAUAGUUGGCGGGGUAACAGCCCACCAAGUCGACGAUGGCUAGGGGAUCUGAGAGGACGGUCCCCCACACUGGUACUGAGACACGGACCAGACUCCUACGGGAGGCAGCAGUAAGGGAUAUUGGUCAAUGGGGGGAACCCUGAACCAGCCAUGCCGCGUGAGGGAAUAAGGCCCUACGGGUCGUAAACCUCUUUUGCCGGGGGAUAAGGACGCCCACGUGUGGGUGUUUGAAGGUACCCGGAGAAUAAGCAUCGGCUAACUCCGUGCCAGCAGCCGCGGUAAU
Molecule: ribosomal RNA, 493 nt
Filed under: uncultured bacterium
Lineage: Bacteria
Description: bacterial SSU rRNA
Rfam family: Bacterial small subunit ribosomal RNA
Source: RNAcentral